CAGUCGCCACGGGAAUACGGAGGGUGCAAGCGUUAAUCGGAAUUACUGGGCGUAAAGCGCACGCAGGCGGUUUGUUAAGUCAGAUGUGAAAUCCCCGAGCUUAACUUGGGAACUGCAUUUGAAACUGGCAAGCUAGAGUCUUGUAGAGGGGGGUAGAAUUCCGGGUGUAGCGGUGAAAUGCGUAGAGAUCUGGAGGAAUACCGGUGGCGAAGGCGGCCCCCUGGACAAAGACUGACGCUCAUGUGCGAAAGCGUGGGGAGCAAACAGGAUUAGAUACCCCGGUAGUCCCUGUCUCUUAUAC
This 301-nucleotide ribosomal RNA is filed under the name uncultured bacterium. Its description in RNAcentral is "partial 16S ribosomal RNA". It matches the Rfam family "Bacterial small subunit ribosomal RNA", at positions 509 to 807 of the family's 1533-position model. The record is from RNAcentral.